RNAcentral lists this transfer RNA (72 nucleotides) under Camelus bactrianus (Bactrian camel). It matches the Rfam family "tRNA". From Rfam's summary of the family: Transfer RNA (tRNA) molecules are approximately 80 nucleotides in length. Lineage: Eukaryota; Metazoa; Chordata; Mammalia; Artiodactyla; Camelidae. RNAcentral also lists the same sequence under 1 other name. The record is from Rfam by way of RNAcentral.
GUGGAUAUAGCUCAGUGUUAGAGCACGUGCUUAGCAUGCAUGAGGUCCUGGGUUCAAUUCCCAGUAUCUCCA